Molecule: ribosomal RNA, 254 nt
Filed under: uncultured bacterium
Lineage: Bacteria
Description: partial 16S ribosomal RNA
Rfam family: Bacterial small subunit ribosomal RNA
Source: RNAcentral
UACGUAGGGACCAAGCGUUGUUCGGAUUUACUGGGCGUAAAGGGCGCGUAGGCGGCAAUUCAAGUCAUCUGUGAAAUCUCCGGGCUUAACUCGGAACGGUCAGAUGAUACUGCUUUGCUAGAGUGCGGAAGGGGCAAUCGGAAUUCUCGGUGUAGCGGUGAAAUGCGUAGAUAUCGAGAGGAACACCUGAGGUGAAGACGGGUUGCUGGGCCGACACUGACGCUGACAGCGCGAAAGCCAGGGGAGCAAACGGG